AGAACUUCCAGCUUCUGCUGAUGGUGUAGGCAUCUGGAAAAUGUGUCUUUAUUAAAAUUACAUUUAAAAACGAGUGAUAUUCAGGGUCAUGACUUUCUGAACCCAUCAGAGAGCUGAAUUGCAGGGCAAUUAAAUAGUUUAAAAUGAAGGAAAGAGAGGUGCCUCCUACAAUAACAGAGAUGGGCUGCAAACAUUGGAUGACCUGUGGCAGAGCACGGAAAGAAGGCAAGGAUGACAGCUACAUGCAGACAAGGUCUCCAGAUUUGCCACCCAUGCUGAGUGCCGUGGUGUGAUCAUGGCUUAUUUCAACCUCAACCUCCCCCACUCAAGCGAUCCUCCUGCCUCAGCCUCUGGAGUAGCUGGGACUACAGGCACGCACCACCACACCCAGCCAUAAUUUGCCUCUUGCUGUAACUAAAAGGUCACAAAAACAAAGAAUUCUAAAAAAUCUUCUUCUUAAGUGCUGAAUACAUAUAGGAACUACAGUUCUCAGACCUGCAGUGAGUUCUGACCAAUGGAAUUCAGUGGGAUGAUAGAUGCUGCCUUUGAAGCCACCCCAUCAACUGGCUCAUCUCCUCCUGUCUC
Molecule: long non-coding RNA, 585 nt
Filed under: Homo sapiens (human)
Lineage: Eukaryota; Metazoa; Chordata; Mammalia; Primates; Hominidae
Description: HSALNT0340788
Source: RNAcentral